Molecule: long non-coding RNA, 1111 nt
Organism: Poecilia reticulata (guppy)
Lineage: Eukaryota; Metazoa; Chordata; Actinopteri; Cyprinodontiformes; Poeciliidae
Source: RefSeq, a predicted model, not a curated record
GAUGAAUAAAAGAUGGAGGAAAGAAAUGGAAAAAGCACACAAAAAUGAAAUGAGAAAGACGAUGAUAAAAAAGGACAAAGUGGGAUUCUGCCAGGUUUCUGACACAGGCUGAAGUCUUGAGGAGCCAGGCCUUGAGGUAAGUGUAUAUGCCCAUGGACUGCAUGGUGCUGGCUUCCACGAUGUAGUCCAAGGGCACAUACCCUCGCAUCAGGGAUCUCUGAAGAUCUUUGUGUAAAACCUAACCAGCAGAAAAGCAGAAAUGGUAACGGCAUAUUGUCUUUCAUCCACCAUACUUUUACUUAGAAAAUUAUGAAUCAUUUUCUGAAAAUAAAAAUAAACUGUGAACUGUUAUCACAGAGAAUUUACUAAUGUUGCAAAAGCAUUCACAACCUUAUACUUUUACAAUUUUUUGUAAUAUUACAAUCAAGCUUCAUGGUAUUUUAUUGGGAUUUAAUAUGACAAAACAACUCAAAGCACUGCUUACAGUACCUGUUUGUAGCCACAUCUUUUGCUGUUUGUCUCUAUCAGCUUUUUACAUGCAGAGCCUGACACCGUUCCACAUUUGUCUUUGCAGAACACCCUGAGCUCUGACAGACUGGAUGGAAAACAUCCAUGAACAGCCGGUUUAAUGACUCUGACUCGGCUGUUCGAGCACAUGAACACUCUACACUAUUCCUUUUCAUCUCCAGCUACACAUUUGGUAUCGCAGUUCUGUUGAAAUGUAAACUUUCACAUGAAUAUCAGAGGAAACUGGCUCAACAUUUUCAGGGUUUUAAACUGUAAAGUUCUGAAAACUGUGUAUAUUUUUUCCUUCCACUUUACAAAUACGUACUAAUUUGUCUUGCAUUAUCGCAUAAUAACCAAGACAAAAUGUGAGAAAGUUCAAGGGGUAUGAAUCCUUUUACAAGGUAUUGUAAAUGUUGUUAUUAAGUAGGUUUUAUGUGGCUACACUGGGUUAACAGGCAUGCAGUAAACAUUUUACAUGUUAUUUAAAUGAGGCAUAACAAUUACAUAAAGUACAAACAACCAAUUAUAAAGUCAUUAGCGUGGUAGAGAUAUUUCAGGUCUGGAUCUUAAACAGUCUGUAAUAAAGGGAACAACAAAAACACUG